UUGUUUAAAGCGUGUACAUGAAAGCCACAUGAUUUUAAGCCGCUUGUCAGUCCUGGAUGGGGAAAAUUGCAGAAAUAUUUCAAAAGGGGAGGGAAGAGGAGGGGGUUCUUUGAAUCCCCGCCCUUUGGCCGUGCUCGUAAACCUCCUUUUUUUCCCUUAAAAAGGCGGAGGGAGCGGGUUCUCAUAAAAUGUAAGCUGAUGCUUCCUCCCAAGCCAGGCCUCGUUGGCGCCACUGCUAACUUCGGGAAUGUGACACGUGAGGUUGGGUGUCUCCGGAUUUGCAUGCCUCAUGAAUAUGCAUCGAAAUGGGAGUGACGAGCCCGGCCUUGAUUUGAACGUCAUGAAUAUGCACAGUGCGAGGAUCGGCUGCGCCUAUGUCGGGCCGUAGAUCGCCGAACCUGUAUCAUAGGGGCUGACACUUAUGCUGAGUUCAGAGUCCCGGCCUGGUAAUGUGAUGGACUCUAAUUCCCAGUCGUUGUGCUCCCCAUUUCCCUGUACUGCUGCCAAUGGCCAGAGAGGACCCAAACAGCCAUCAAGCAGUCCUGAGAUAGAGGAUGUUCGUCCAAAGCCACCUGUGAAACCCAAGCCCUGGGUGCUGCCAAAGCCAGCUAUGCCAGUGAAGCCUGUUCCUGGCCUGCGUCAGGCUCUCUCUGAGGUGCCCUCUGCUGAAAAGAUCAACUUAUUGGCUGGGCCCAAGCCAUAUAGCAGUGGGGCCUGCAACGCAGUUAAGCGUCUCUCUUUUAGUCUAAAGACCCCUGCAAGAGAAUCUACCAAUGGGAAAGAGGUUUUGUCUCCAUUUUCCACUAUAGCCAAACCAUCUGGAGAUGGUGAGGUAGCUGGGCCAACAAAGAAAUCAACUGCUGUGGAGGGAGCUUCUGGAGAAGAGAGUGGAGAAUCCUCCAGUUUACGCAAGGGCACUGUUCCAUUCAAAGUAAAGCCAGUGCCAGUAGCAGCCAAGCCAGAGCGUUUUCCUGGGACCACAGUGGAGGAGAUUUUGGCCAAGAUGGAGAAGCCCAACAAGGAGGGGGUAAACAGCCCUGACAGGCCUCGGCUGGUACGCUCCUUCUUCAGCCAGGAUGGUAGCACAGCUGUUCACCUGGGGCCUAAGGGUUAUGCUGCAUUCCGGAGAUGUUCCAGUGGAGAAGGCAGUGAAAUGGAAUUGGAGGGUCCUACCUACAGAAUCUCUUGUGACGUUGAGGAGAGCAGAUUGUCAAGGAACAAGGAGGAAAUCACAAGUUCAAAUGGUCAGCAUCUGCCUGAAUCUGAGCAACCAGCAAGAGCAAUGGAGAGGAACUUAGAUUUACUCUCUAGGGACAGCAGCUCCAGUCGACCUAGCGUGAGCUAUGAUGGAGGCCAACCUGGAUAUAGCAGUCCACCAUCUCCCCUUGGCGACUCUUUCCCCAAGACCUAUCAACCCCUCACUAAGCUUUCUUCUGGAGUCACUCCUGGGUCCCCUAAUGCUGUUGCUGAACCAGCCCAACCCCCAGGUGCCCCACAUUUUCCAGCAGAUGUUCUAAGCACUGAAGCUCAGCUUCCACCAGGCUCUCCUGAUGCACCUACUGACCUCCUUGAAUCUCCUGUUGAGGUCUCCCUUGGUCUUGUCCAGGCUCCAGGUUCCCCCAUGGCCCUUUCUGAUCCCUGCCCCCCAGGAUCCCCCAGUAGUUCCAUCAAAACUUUCCUAGGACACUCCCAGCCUUCGGGUCUCAAGGGCCUUUCUGAAAAAUGCCCUGAGGUCUGUCUUCUCCCUGGGCCAUCUGCCAGUUUGACCCAUCCACUUGCUGAGCUCAGCCUGGAACCCCGCAGUGGUCUCCAGGGAGUCUCAGAGUCCCCUGGCUCUCCAAGCACUCCUUCUGAGUACUAUGUUGCUUCUGAUAAACCUCCUGGCUCCCCCUCUCGCACACAAGACACGUCCUUACUCUCCAGAGACCAGGAUUCCCUCAAGAAUCAAUCACCAAUGUUACCUCUUGAGGACAAAGACCCCCAACUCUCACAGGUGCUUCUACGGCGUGCCUCAGAGGGAGUGUUGCAGCCACGGGGUAAAAAAAUAGUCAGGGAGGAGCUAGGGGGGUCCUUGGCUGUCUUGCCAAGAGUAGGGGGUCCUCCCUUAGAGCAGGCUGCAGGGGGAGAGUCCAAUUGGAGCCUGUCACAGUCCUUUGAAUGGGCUUUCCCUACCCGGACUCUCGAGUUUGGUGGAAAGAGACUCGGGUCUCCUCCAAGGUCUCCCAUUAAGGAAUCUGAUGAUACUGACCAGUUGGAGGCAGAAUUGGGUAGAAUGAGCCUCAGCCCCAAAGGGUCUUAUGAGAAGAGAGAUUCAGAGAGCCGGAGGAGGGGAGGAGGGGAAACUGAGGCUUAUGGGAGUUUUCCCUGCCUCAGUGAUUCCAGGGGCUCUCAAGGGAGCCAGAGGAAGCCUGAGGGCCAGCCGGAGUCCCUUUCAACUCUUGAGGUAUCGGCACCUGGAGGUCCCUCUGCUCAGAGGAAGCUUAUCAGCCCUAAGCUACAGGGCCCUAUUGUGGCAGCAGAGGGUGGCUGUGAAGAGGAGCACGAUGGCUUUCUGCCCUUUCUCCCAGCCCCCGAGGAAGCGGCUUUACGGGCAAUGGAGCCAUUGCCAAGUGUAGAACAGGCUGCCCCUCCUGCGGAGCCUUGCAUCUUAUUCUUAGAAGAUGCCCAGAUGCAGAUGGCUGCUUCCUGCCAGGAAGAUGAUGGUGCUUUAGGUCUGACACAGGAAGGCAAGAUGGGGGGUGCUGACCCCCUGAGUGGAACUGAUCCCGAUUCUGGCUCACACUGGCUGGAUGAACUGCUGGCAUCUCCUCCACCCAGCGCUGAUGACACAAAGAGAAGUACGCCCAAGUCGGAAGAACCCACAGGAUCAGAGGAUCUUCUGGGAUGGUCACGGAAGGAUCUUUGCAGCGAGUUUGGCAUUGUAGAAGUUGAUCGGUCUGCUACCUUUGGCAUGGGUUGGGCUGCUGGCGUCGGCAAGGUUGUUUGGCCUGGUGAAAUGGAACAGGAUCGAGAGUUUGGCACUGGCACACAGGACUGGGUGAGCUCGUAUAGCGUUAGUGAUGCCAAAAGGCAGGAUAUGGAAUUUGGUGCCAGUCAGCAAGACUGGACCAGAGGUACACCGUCGCAGAGCAAUUCUGAACCAGGUCAAGAAGAAUGGCUCACUGCCUAUGGCAGCAAUUGUGCUGAUCAGAAGAUUGAGGAGUCAGAUUGGAGCAGUACGUAUAGUAUCAGCACUGCUGAGUCUCAGGACAGAGAGCUUUACAUGAGGAAACCAGGCUGGCCCAGACUCUGCAGUAAUGACAAUAAUCAAGAGAGUAGCACAUUUGCUCCUGAGAAAAUGGGUUGGAAUAGCGCAUAUGAUGUUGGUGUUUCUGAAAGGACUGACUGGCUCAACAAAUACAGUGAAGAAAAUGCCAGCUGCCUUGAAUCAAAGGUCGACACAAAGUUAUCAGAUGAGUCUGUCAAAUACGGUACUGACAGCCAUCAGGAUACAGAACUCGAUGUCAGGCAUUCAGAGGGGCCCAGUGAUCCCAGUGCUAAAACUGUUGGCUCUCAGGAUGCCACAUUCAAUGCCAGCCAGUUAGGCUGGCCUAGUGACAGCAGUGCUAGACAGGUGCUUUCAGAGUUCAGUGCCCACCAGGUGGAGCAGCUCAGUGGUUAUACUGCAAACCAUCUAGAAUCUCAGAUUAGCACCCAACAGCGACUGCGGCCUAAUACAUAUGGGUUUGAUGAUGACAACUGUCAGGAGUCUGAAUUGAAUGUCAAACAGUCUAACUGGCCCAGCAGCUAUGACAUGGGGCUUGCCCAAAGUCAAGAUGGUGAGUUUAGUGCUGAGAAACCAGACGGAGCCAGUGAAUGUGAUGAUAGCCGAACAGGCUGGGAAAGAGAACUAGGUGUUGCAAAUAGGGGAAGCGCCACUGAAUUUGAGGCUGGUGAUCUGAAGUUCUGUGCUCGGAAGCCAGUCUGGGCUGAUGAUUACAGCCUUAGUGAAACUGAUACGCAUGGUAGUGAUUUCGCUGGUGGCAGAAGGGACUGGAUCAGAGACACUGAUCUCUCAGCAACAGAACAGAAAAAACAGUUAGGUGCCAUAGGGAAGGACCUAGCUGAAAGCUGUGGCCCAUUAGAGUUACAGAGUCUAAGAGUGACAGUGGAUUUGGAUGAGACAGCAGGCAGCCUGAUCGGUGAGGCUGGAGGCUUAAUAACUGUGGCUAUGGAUGAGCCCAGAGGAGUUGGAGAGGGGCAGCCUGAGUGGACUCAAGAUCUUGGGCUCAGAGGCAUGGACCUCUCCAGUGACUUGAAAGUUGGGAGCCCAGAUACAUCUAAAAACCACGCAGAGAAGCAGCCUUAUUGGUCCCCUUCCCUGGGCCUGGAAACCUUGUCUGCCUCAUCAGAUGCAAGAACUUUGGAUCCAGAGGAGACCAGAGAACCUGGUGUGGGGCAAGCGGAUUUGGCCUAUGGAUCUGGCACUGGAAGUAUGGAAGUGUCUGAUUUGAGGCCCAAGGCUUUGGAUGGGGCUGAGGAAGUAGGCCUAAUACAGACAGACUGGACUGCUGCAACUGGGGUAAAGCAUGAGGACCACAGCUAUCAGUUUGCAGCUACUGGUUUGGAUGGUGAUGAGAUGCAGCAUCCAGGAGCAACUGGAGACUCUGGAGAGAGGAGAAAAUUCCAUCGUCAACGACUGUCCAGCCCCAGCCGUCUGCUGGAAGAGAUGGUUUCUGAUAGUGCUGUCAAAGAGGUGGCCCAUCAGAAGAGACCUGCCUCCUUCCACAGUUGCCAUUCAGAAAAAGAGAGGGGACUCAGUGGCUGGUGUAAUAACCAGGGACCUGCAGCUGAAAGGGCUAAAGGAUUGCCUGUCCCAGCAGAGGAGGAUGGAAAGGCUUUGUCUGCUGCAGAUAGCCAGUUAGCCAGUGGAAAUGGGAGUCAACCACCUGUGGAACCGAGGGUGCUGAGUCAUCCAGAGCAAAAUGGAAGUCAAGUUGCAUGGCCCAUAUUGCAGGAGGGUCAUGCUUCAGAGGGAGCUGAGGCACCCACAGAGGAAAACUUCAUCUUCUUAGAGGAUACAGAGGUUCUUGACAACACUAUGUAUCGUGACCGUGCUAAUUUGGGCCGUAAGCGAGGUCAUCGGGCACCAGCCACCCGAACUGGAGGCACUCUUUCAGAGAGUGACAGAGACAGCUGGAUGUUCAAGGAUUCCACAGAGCCUCGAAUAGCUUCUGCUGUCUCGGAUGAAGAAGCCCCAGAGGAGCCAAGGAGCAGGAAGUCACGAAUUUCUCCAUUGUCCAAGGGGGUAAAGGUGCCCCUCUUCCCAGGACUGAACCCCUCGGCACUUAAGGCCAAGUUGCGAGGCCGCAACCGCUCUGUUGAGGAAGGGGAUCCACAAAGUGAGGCCAAGGAGACACAUGUACAACGCUCUAAAUCAUGCAAGAUUGCCAACAUCACUGGGAAACCUCUGGUGCUGCCACCCAAGCCAGAGAAAUCCUCAGGGUCAGAAACAUCCUCGCCCAAUUGGCUGCAAGUUCUGAAGUUGAAAAAGAAGAAGUCUUGAAAUAAAAAACAUUCAGACAGCUGCAGUAAAGCAGCCUAAAACUCUUGCCAUCAGUCAGAAGAUGAUUCCUGUGCCUGGAUUCCUAUGUAAAUAGUAUAUGAAUAUUUUAAGUGAGGAAACUGUUCUCUCAUCAAGGUGCCAGGCUGAAGAGGCUGACUGGUAAUUCCCAGUGUUGCUCUCCUGCUACUGGGGCCCUGACAGCAGAAGUUCCAGUGAGCUGUUCAUGGGUGGGAGACAGCAUGUUGAGAUUGGAGCCAGAAUCCCCGUCUAACAACUCUGAGGGAUUGGGGAGGUGGGGGGGGGGAGAGGGAGGUUGGAGGCACAUUUAUGCACUUUGUAUCACAUUCAGUCACUCAUGCAUAUGGCAGUCAGAUUCACUCUGCUGCUAUCCUGUCUAUUUCCUCCUUUUUUUUCCUUAUACCACAUACAGUUUUAUAAAGUCUCUUUAUUUUUUUUUAUUUUUUAAUCAGUCAAGGAGCUUAGCGUUGUCCCCUUUUUCUUUCACCCCAAGGGAGGAAAAACAAAGAGGUGAGGCUUAUGCUCUCUCGGCUGUCAUAUAAUGCAUUUCAGACAAAAGAGGAAUGAAUUUUUCCCCUUUCAGCCACUUGAAACGAAUAAAGGUUUUAUGGUUAUGGAGGCACCGUGGUUGCAGUGUGCUUGUGUGUGAUUCUCUGAGCUCUGUCAUGAGCCAGACCUUGUUACUUGGCAACAUAUUCUUUGAGAUGGGCAGACAAUAAGGGCUAUAAUGAAAUGCUGGUGGAGGAAGAAUGUGCUAUUUAGUGGGUAGAAAAAGGCACUUGUUCAAUAUAGUUUUUUCUGUCUUUAAAACUGAUUUUCAUUUUUUUCUUCUCAUGGGCUUAGGCUUGUUGGGAAUUUAGAAUAAAUUAAAUAUGAGAAUAUAUAACUUGGUUUGCUAAGUAGUUUCAGUGGGUUGUAUUCCACUAAUAUUUUCUCAGAGUAGACCAUAAGAGUUAGUUGACUACAACCCAAAAUGGAUCAAUGGGGGGAGACAAUGUUAAGCCUGGGGAGAAGCCCAACUGUACCUCUUGGUAGGUAUAUUAAAGCUGCAGAUGUACAUAAAGAGAAGAGCAUCUGAGCUCUGAAAGCGCAUUCAUCAGUCUUCUUGUCAUAUCCUAUGUACAAAUAGCAAACUCAUUCUUGGAAUAGGGGAUGCUUGUGCAUCCAACCCCCCCCCCCAAUAUGAGAUUGAUAUUGGCAGGUUUUGGGGAACCACAAAUUCUGCAGAAAUACAAAAAAAAAAUUAGAACAAACCUCUAAGGGGUUAACUCCCUGCCCCCAAACCACCAAACA
Molecule: RNA transcript, 6856 nt
Organism: Rhineura floridana
Lineage: Eukaryota; Metazoa; Chordata; Lepidosauria; Squamata; Rhineuridae
Gene: CNOT12
Gene name: tankyrase 1 binding protein 1
Exons: 13
Source: RefSeq, a predicted model, not a curated record